RNAcentral lists this ribosomal RNA (427 nucleotides) under uncultured Staphylococcus sp. RNAcentral's name for it is "bacterial SSU rRNA". It matches the Rfam family "Bacterial small subunit ribosomal RNA", at positions 353 to 772 of the family's 1533-position model. Lineage: Bacteria; Bacillati; Bacillota; Bacilli; Caryophanales; Staphylococcaceae. The record is from RNAcentral.
AGUAGGGAAUCUUCCGCAAUGGGCGAAAGCCUGACGGAGCAACGCCGCGUGAGUGAUGAAGGUCUUCGGAUCGUAAAACUCUGUUAUUAGGGAAGAACAUAUGUGUAAGUAACUGUGCACAUCUUGACGGUACCUAAUCAGAAAGCCACGGCUAACUACGUGCCAGCAGCCGCGGUAAUACGUAGGUGGCAAGCGUUAUCCGGAAUUAUUGGGCGUAAAGCGCGCGUAGGCGGUUUUUUAAGUCUGAUGUGAAAGCCCACGGCUCAACCGUGGAGGGUCAUUGGAAACUGGAAAACUUGAGUGCAGAAGAGGAAAGUGGAAUUCCAUGUGUAGCGGUGAAAUGCGCAGAGAUAUGGAGGAACACCAGUGGCGAAGGCGACUUUCUGGUCUGUAACUGACGCUGAUGUGCGAAAGCGUGGGGAUCAAA